GAUGAACGCUGGCGGCGUGCCUAAUACAUGCAAGUCGAGCGAACAGACGAGGAGCUUGCUCCUCUGACGUUAGCCGCGGACGGGUGAGUAACACGUGGAUAACCUACCUAUAAGACUGGGAUAACUUCGGGAAACCGGCGCUAACACCGGAUAAUAUAUUGAACCGCAUGGUUCAAUAGUGAAAGACGGUUUUGCUGUCACUUAUAGAUGGAUCCGCGCCGCGUUAGCUAGUUGGUAAGGUAACGGCUUACCAAGGCAACGAUGCGUAGCCGACCUGAGAGAGUGAUCGGCCACACUGGAACUGAGACACGGUCCAGACUCCUACGGGAGGCAGCAGUAGGGAAUCUUCCGCAGUGGGCGAAAGCCUGACGGAGCAACGCCGCGUGAGUGAUGAAGAUCUUCGGAUCGUGAAACUCUGUUAUUAGGGAAGAACAAAUGUGUAAGUAACUAUGCACGUCUUGACGGUACCUAGUCAGAAAGCCACGGCUAACUACGUG
This 497-nucleotide ribosomal RNA is filed under the name uncultured bacterium. Its description in RNAcentral is "partial 16S ribosomal RNA". It matches the Rfam family "Bacterial small subunit ribosomal RNA", at positions 28 to 507 of the family's 1533-position model. The record is from RNAcentral.